Molecule: ribosomal RNA, 404 nt
Filed under: Actinomycetes bacterium
Lineage: Bacteria; Bacillati; Actinomycetota; Actinomycetes
Description: Actinobacteria bacterium partial 16S ribosomal RNA
Rfam family: Bacterial small subunit ribosomal RNA
Source: RNAcentral
UGGGGAAUAUUGGACAAUGGGCGCAAGCCUGAUCCAGCCAUGCCGCGUGAGUGAUGAAGGCCCUAGGGUUGUAAAGCUCUUUCACCGGUGAAGAUAAUGACGGUAACCGGAGAAGAAGCCCCGGCUAACUUCGUGCCAGCAGCCGCCGUAAUACGAAGGGGGCUAGCGUUGUUCGGAUUUACUGGGCGUAAAGCGCACGUAGGCGGACUAUUAAGUCAGGGGUGAAAUCCCGGGGCUCAACCCCGGAACUGCCUUUGAUACUGGUAGUCUUGAGUUCGAGAGAGGUGAGUGGAAUUCCGAGUGUAGAGGUGAAAUUCGUAGAUAUUCGGAGGAACACCAGUGGCGAAGGCGGCUCACUGGCUCGAUACUGACGCUGAGGUGCGAAAGCGUGGGGAGCAAACAGG